UAAGGAAUAUUGGACAAUGGGGGCAACCCUGAUCCAGCCAUGCCGCGUGAAGGAUGAAGGCGUUAUGCGUUGUAAACUUCUUUUAUACGGGAAAAAACCCCCUUACGUGUAAGGGGUUGAUUGUACUGUAAGAAUAAGGAUCGGCUAACUUCGUGCCAGCAGCCGCGGUAAUACGAAGGAUUCGAGCGUUAUCCGGAUUUAUUGGGUUUAAAGGGUGCGUAGGCGGACUUGUAAGUCAGUGGUGAAAGCCCGCAGCUUAACUGCGGAAUUGCCGUUGAUACUGCAAGUCUUGAGUACACUUGAGGUGGGCGGAAUGUAUCAUGUAGCGGUGAAAUGCUUAGAUAUGAUACAGAACACCGAUUGCGAAGGCAGCUCACUAAAUUGUAACUGACGCUGAGGCACGAAAGCGUGGGUAUCAAACAG
Molecule: ribosomal RNA, 423 nt
Filed under: uncultured bacterium
Lineage: Bacteria
Description: bacterial SSU rRNA
Rfam family: Bacterial small subunit ribosomal RNA
Source: RNAcentral